AUUCAAUACAAUCAAAUUAAUUUGUGGAUUUCAUCAUUGUAAUCGAUCUGAAAAUUUGAUACUAUUACAACAAACAACGUCUUCGGCGAUAUUCUGUCCGAUGAGGCUUCAAUGCUUACUGGGAGUAUACGAAUGCUUCCGUCAGCUUGAAUUGGCGACUCGGGACCAGGACUGUAUGAACCUAUCCACGGUUUUGCUCCUGAUAUUGCUGGACAAGUAGAGUUGACUAUGAAAUGGAUCGAUCAGUUUAAAUUUUUUAAUGAUGAUAAGUCUCAACAGUUGCGGACAACUUG
Molecule: long non-coding RNA, 293 nt
Organism: Papaver somniferum (opium poppy)
Lineage: Eukaryota; Viridiplantae; Streptophyta; Magnoliopsida; Ranunculales; Papaveraceae
Exons: 3
Source: RefSeq, a predicted model, not a curated record